RNA transcript from Trifolium pratense (red clover), 2380 nucleotides. It is a transcript of the gene named ubiquitin-conjugating enzyme E2 5-like, with no coding region annotated. Lineage: Eukaryota; Viridiplantae; Streptophyta; Magnoliopsida; Fabales; Fabaceae. The transcript has 7 exons. The record is from RefSeq and is a predicted model, not a curated record.
ACUUAUAAGAUUGAUUUAGAAACGGACCCUAAAUACAUUUGAGCCGGAGACGGUUUGGGUUUGUGGACUCGCUAUGAACUAAGGCAUCUCAUACUUCUGCUGUGUAAACAAAGAGAGCUCACACAAACACAAACACAAACACAACACUCUUCUAUUAUGAACAAUGUCUUCCCCAGAUAAACGCCGAGACAUGGAUUUGAUGAAGCUGAUGAUGACUGAUUACAAGGUGGAGAUGAUCAAUGAUGGCAUGCAAGACUUCUUUGUGGAAUUUCAUGGACCCAAAUACAGUCCUUAUCAAGGAGGUGUGUGGAAGAUAAGAGUGGAGCUACCUGAUGCUUAUCUUUAUAAGUCUCCUUCUAUUGGUUUUGUCAACAAAAUUUACCAUCCUAAUGUUGAUGAAAUGUCUGGCUCGGUUUGCUUAGAUGUUAUCAACCAGACAUUGAGUCCGAUGUUCGAUCUUGUUAAUGUGUUCGAAGUGUUUAUUCCUCAACUUCUUAUAUACCCCAAUGCAUCAGAUCCAUUGAAUGGUGAUGCCGCUGCCUUGAUGAUGAGAGACCGUGCUGCAUAUGAACAGAAAGUCAAAGGUCCUUAUCAAGUAGGUGUAUGGAAGAUAAGAGUUGAGCCACCUGAUGCUUAUCCUUAUAAGUGUCCUUCUACUUGAUGGUAAUGUUGAUGAAAUGUGAGUUGUCCAUAGAAACCAAAGCUUCAUUGUUUUCUAAGGGAUGCCAAAGGAGUUUUAAGAAUGAUUUUGUGGGCUCAAUCCUGGAAACUAACAUAACUACUAACUUAAUAACAUUUUUCUAUCCAAAAUAUAAAAAAAUAAAAAUAAGCUUCAAUGUUUUAUAUCAUUAGAUUUGUAACUGAUUCAAUGAAUUUAUAAUUUCAACCGUCCGAUCUCAAAUCUACAGUUGAGAUUAACUACAACAUAGUUUCUCAGCUUCAGUGGAUCCAUGUCUUUUGAUUUAGAAGUUUGCUCUUUAGGCCCCCAAAAUUCUGUUGUUACCCUUAAACUUAGUUCAGAAAUUAUGUUCCAAACUUGAUGUUGGUUUGGAGUGUAGUUUCCAUACCUAUUUUACAAGCUUCCGAACCACCACCAUUACAUGCUCACGAGAUUAAAAUUGCAUCUCCUUCUUUAUCUUAAGCUUUUUCCUCUUAUUUAAGGUUUGCUAUUUCAUUUUUGGUUUAUUUCUUUAUUACAUUAUUAUUCGCCCUCUAAUGUGCAAGAAGGCAGCCACGGAGCUCCCCGGAAGAGGUACACGCACACACGACCCAACCACCUUGAGACGGUGGCUUCAAAAAUGUCUUCUCCAUGUCAGACCCACUUGUUUUGCAUUUUUUAAAUGAAUUUCAUGAUAGUGAGGGUUGAGAUGGUGUACCUUUGAUUUUCUUUUUCUUUCACUUGAUUUUGCUUUGAACAGUGGCUAUCUUCCUUUGACCUUUGACCAAAAAAUCAUCAUUAUAUGACACAGAUAGGGAUGAGAAAAUCACGUGAGCAUGUAAUGGGAGUGGUUCGGAAGCUAAAAUCUGAAAUUUGUCCAUGUGAAAUUGGUUUUGAAAUUACGUUCCGCAGCAACAUCAAGUUCAGAAUGUAAUUUCCGAACUGAGUUUAAGGAUAAAAACGGAAUUUUGGGGGCCUGGGAGUAACUUGGGGGCUUGAGGAGCAACAAUCUUUGAUUUAUUGCAGGUUUGGUUUGACCUAAUUGAUUCGAGCUUUAUUGGACCGGACUAAAAUGGGCCUGCCCACCCAAAUAAAAACCCUAAUGUUUGAUGUUUUUAAUGUCAAAAAAUGUGCUUUUUCAAAAAUGUCAAAAAAUGUGAAUGAGGGUAAGAGAAAUACCCCGAGAGAAGAGGGGGAUUUUAUUCUCAUAAUCUCUCAAACGCUUAGUUAUUUAUUUUGGCAGCUUGGCGCUGUAUUUCUUAUGCUUUUGAAUCAGGCCCGGCCCACACCCACGGCAUCAGGCCUCAAAAUUUCAAGGCCCUAUAAUAAUAGCUGUAUAUUAUCAAUGUUUGUAAAAUAUUAGAUGUCCAUCAAUAGAUUAGUGGCAGACUAUAAUGUUUUUGUGUGUAAGGUCCAUGGUUCAGGUUCAAAUCCCCACAGUGCCAUUUUUUUAAAAAUUUUGUGUUUUUCAUUGAAGGCCCAUUUUUAAUAUUCAACCAGGGCCUCCAUCCAAAUAGUUGGGCCCGGCCCUGUUUUGAGUGAUACCUCAAAUUCAGCUCUCUUUCUCAUUUGCAGAAUUUGAGAUUGAAGAGCAGCACCAGCUAGUACCAACAUUGCCACAAUCAAUUAUCAAUAAUUUUCAGGUUGGCUCAGCAAAACCAAAAGAGUGGCGGUUAACCAAACGGGUGAUGGUUCUUUAUUGGGCACUGAAAACCUAAUCAA